Molecule: ribosomal RNA, 255 nt
Filed under: uncultured bacterium
Lineage: Bacteria
Description: partial 16S ribosomal RNA
Rfam family: Bacterial small subunit ribosomal RNA
Source: RNAcentral
CACGUAGGGGGCGAGCGUUGUCCGGAUUUAUUGGGCGUAAAGAGCUCGUAGGCGGCUCGGUAAGUGAGGUGUGAAAACUCCAGGCUCAACCUGGAGACGCCACCUACAUACUGCCGUGGCUAGAGUCCGGUAGGGGAGCAUGGAAUUCCUGGUGUAGCGGUGAAAUGCGCAGAUAUCAGGAGGAACACCAGUGGCGAAGGCGGUGCUCUGGGCCGGAACUGACGCUGAGGAGCGAAAGCGUGGGGAGCAAACAGG